RNAcentral lists this ribosomal RNA (281 nucleotides) under uncultured prokaryote. Its description in RNAcentral is "partial 16S ribosomal RNA". It matches the Rfam family "Bacterial small subunit ribosomal RNA", at positions 524 to 803 of the family's 1533-position model. The record is from RNAcentral.
UACGUAGGGGCUAGCGUUAUCCGGAAUUACUGGGCGUAAAGGGUGCGUAGGCGGCCAGGCAAGUCAGUGGUGAAAAACCUGGGCUUAACCGAGGUAUUGCCGUUGAAACUGUCUGGCUUGAGGAUAGAAGAGGAGUGUGGAAUUCCCGGUGUAGCGGUGAAAUGCGUAGAGAUCGGGAGGAACACCAGUGGCGAAGGCGGCACUCUGGUCUAUACCUGACGCUGAGGCGCGAAAGCCAGGGGAGCAAACAGGAUUAGAUACCCCGGUAGUCCCUGAGCGGG